CUCCCCGGCCCGCCGGGCAGUGGGUCACCGGCCUGGACAGCGAGGCGAGACGCCCGGCGUGGGAAAGGACGACAGGGCCUGGGCCCUGCCCGCCAGUGGGCUUACGGUCGACGGGAGGGGCGGGCUGGAGGCCCUGGGCUUCGUACCACGACCCAGCGUGAGCCCCGUUCUGGUGAACUGAUUCUCCCCAGGCCCCUCCGUCCCCCGUCCUGCCCCCCGCCCACCCCUUCAGCGGAUUCUGACCCGGGAGAGACGGAGGGAGACAGAGGACGGGGCGAGGGGGCCUGCUGCCGGGGAGGGGGGUCCCCCGGGCUCCCGCCCCGCCGGGAAAGGCACCGAGGCCGAAGCCAAAAUGCGAACCGCCGAGAGAGAACCCCCGAGGAACAGUCCGGAGAGAACGGCCGAGUAAACAACAGACUAAAGUUGGGAAAAAGACAAAGAACAACAAAAAAAAACCAAGCAAACAAAACAAAAAAAAAAACCAAAACUCUGAUUCUAGACCAAAAAGGAAAAAUAUCCAGGACUCUAUCCUUCGCCCUCCCCCGACCCACACCACCCCUAAACCUCGUCCCCCCUCUUCUGGGGGUGGUCGGGUUGCUCCCCCCCACCCCACCCACUCCGGCCGGGGUGGCGGGUGGAAAGGACGUGAUUGUGGAGGGGGCAAGAAUGGGGGAGGGGUGGGGGGCUGCCCUCCUCUGCAGUCGCUGGGGGGGGCGCCCCCUCCCCUCCCACCGGGGAAGACCCCCCAAAGCAAACAAACCAACGCCGAGCUUUAACUACAGCUGUGAAACCAAAUAUAGGGGAGGGAGGGGGCCUCAGGGGGAGGGGCAGGUGAGCCCCCGGCCUCCCCACCCCCUGCUCCCGGCCCCCCUCCGACCCUCCCCCUCCCCCCCUCCGUCCCCCCAUCCUCCCCUCCCCCCGAGGACUGGAGAUAUAAAGGCACCAAAUACCUCAACGAACUUUAAUGUUAAAAACCAAAUAGUGUCCGCGCGGGGCGGGUGGGUGGGCUGGGUGGGCGUAGGGGGGGGAGGGCUGGGCCGGGUCUGCAGGUGGAGGGGGCGGGAUGGAGGU
This 1071-nucleotide long non-coding RNA is filed under the name Ornithorhynchus anatinus (platypus). RNAcentral's name for it is "lncRNA (ENSOANG00000042479.1)". Lineage: Eukaryota; Metazoa; Chordata; Mammalia; Monotremata; Ornithorhynchidae. The record is from RNAcentral.